AUGGUCCGACGAAGAGCUGUUGCUAAGAAACUCUUUUUCUUUCCAUUUCAACUUUCAACUGGCACUGAGCAGCUGUGCGGCAGCGCCUGUAUACGCCAUUUUCAUAUCGGGCGAUUUGCUGUUCGAGGGCCUUUAUGCCUACAUUUUCGUGUAUCCCGAGCUGCAGAUUCAUGCGUGGCGGCGUUUGAAGAGUUUAAGGAUGACGUGGAGGGUGAGUGCGAUGGUUAUAUAAGCGGUCAUGGCUGUGACGAGAAAUUGCCACGUGGAUCUCCAUGA
This is a non-coding RNA of Vicia faba (fava bean), 276 nucleotides long. The record is from the annotation of a GenBank genome assembly. Lineage: Eukaryota; Viridiplantae; Streptophyta; Magnoliopsida; Fabales; Fabaceae.